Molecule: long non-coding RNA, 1740 nt
Organism: Oncorhynchus tshawytscha (Chinook salmon)
Lineage: Eukaryota; Metazoa; Chordata; Actinopteri; Salmoniformes; Salmonidae
Source: Ensembl
UCUGUUGUAAAUUAAUACACCAAUUGAUUUAGCUUUGGAGGGAAACCCCUUGCUUGCAUAAAAAAAUGUGGCUAGUAGUUAUCAAGGUUUUGCUUAAUUUGUACAUAUUGUCAUGAUUUUUUUAUGAAUGAAAAAAUGUAUAUUUACAUUUUUGGGGGGUGGGUUGGACUUCUUUUCAGGGAAGUCACCGUAUGUUUGAUAUUAAAAAAAGACUGAAGUCAGAUCCAUUGAAUUAACAUGAGUGUGAGAACAGUUGCAGUAUUUGUAACAUGUUUAUAGCCAAAGAAAAGAUUACAGUAAUUAGGACUAUUCAGUCCAACAUCAAAUCCAUCAGAAAACACUGGAAGCAGAUGACAAGAUUCUAUGAAAGUGGGAAAAGUUGUGACACAACUCUUGAAUUACAGCUCCUCCCCCAGAUGGUGAUUGGAAUGUGCAUCAAGUCACCAAAGAAAAGAUUACAGUAAUUAGGACUAUUCAGUCCAACAUCAAAUCCAUCAGAAAACACUGGAAGCAGAUGACAAGAUUCUAUGAAAGUGGGAAAAGUUGUGACACAACUCUUGAAUUACAGCUCCUCCCCCAGAUGGUGAUUGGAAUGUGCAUCAAGUCAGUAAGUCAAUGAAAUUAUACAUUCAAAUAUAUUAUUAACAUGAAUAUAAUGACUGAUAUUAAACAGCAUAAAAUCAUUGAAAAUACAGUACAAUAGUUCACAUCUGCAGAACAUGAUGUACCACUAGAACUUCAAUCUGCUAUGCCUUGGAUCAUAAUCCAUCAAACUUUCUGGACAGUUUUCACGGUCAGUCGAAAUUUCAGAUCAGGUCGCUUCGCCCGAACGAUGUCGUAGAUCUAGUAGAGAAAAUAGAUCACUAUUUAGUUCAACUCAAGCUCAUCUAAUCUAGAUCUUAUUUUCCAAUAUAAAUAAUUGUAUAAUCGAUCAAUCAUAUGCAUUGGAACUUUAUAUAAAAUAUGCUACCUGGGAUAUAGAUAAAAAUUUUAAUAAUAUAAAAAAAUACCAUGAUUGAAUGAGGAAAUGUUACCUGACUCAAGACUGGAUCAACUGUGGUCUAAAUGUCAGCUGACUCCAGACUGGAUCAACUGUGGUCUAAAUGUCAGCUGACUCUAGACUGGAUCAACUGUGGUCUAAAUGUCAGCUGACUCUAAACUGGAUAAACUGUUGUGUAAAUGUCAGCUGACUCUAGACUGGAUCAACUGUGGUCUAAAUGUUACCUGACUGAAGAAAGAACCAACUGUGGUCUCAUUUAGCUCCUGAUAAGAUUGGACAGCGACCUGAAGAAUUGCAAAUCCUAUAUUUGGGCAAGAAUAUUCAAAUUAUUUCAGUAAAUAAAAGACAAUUAGCCGAGUAUCAUAAUUCAAUGUAUUUAUUUUAUGCUUAAAUACCCACCACUUUUCAGGGGUUUAGUACCAAAAGGUGGGUCCACAUAAGGGGUAGUAAGAGUUGGAGGUGUUGUCACCUGUGUCGUGGUAGCCCUUGGUCCCAUUGUAGUUGUUGAAGCUGAUGGGGUAAAUAUUGACAUGUUAGCUCUAUCUCUCAUUAGCCUGAAAUCCAAACCUGUUUUAGGCUAAACAUUCCACUCCCUGUACUCCGUGUCAUAUACAAAACAUUACAUUAUAAGGAGUGGAAUGAUAGCCCAAACAGACUAGUACCCAUUCUAGUAUAUAUAUUUUAUGAUCACAACAAGAAAUACAAAAAUACAAAAUAAAGAUGUUUUUACAGUAGUCAUC